AGUUUUUAAAGUGGGUUUGGAGAAAAAUGUUGUAUACGUGCGUCGCCGUGGCGGUCUUGUUUACUUUUGGGAAUUGAAGGACACAAAUUUUAUUAACAAUAGAUUUAAAACUUUACGAAUUUAUAAGCAGUCACGAAAUUCGUGACGGAAAUCAAUUAUAACGCAAGAUUUGCGUGCAAUUUUUUACCUCCAGAAAUCUCCUUAUAAAGAAGAAUCAAAUAAUUGGUAACAGCACUUCUUCUGCUCAACGGAAGAAAUCGUUUUUAAAAUGGUGUUGUCAAUGGAUCGAUGGGUCGGAAAAAUUGCAAUGGUAACUGGGGCUAGUUCGGGUAUCGGGGCAGCAAUUGCAGAACAAUUAGUUCGCAACGGAUUAAUCGUUGUAGGAUUAGCAAGGAGAAAAGAAAAAGUUGAAGAGCUGGUAAAUAAACUUAAGGACAACAAAGGAGUACUUUAUGCAUACAAAUGCGACAUGACCAAGGAAGCAGAAAUCUUGGCAGCGUUUAAGUGGAUAGCAGACAAUUUGGGACCGGUUAGCAUCUUGGUUAAUAACGCUGGUCUGAUUAAACCAACUGAUUUGAUCGGAGGAGAUACGGCUGCAUGGAAAACAGUACUUGACACUAACGUUCUUGGAUUAUGCAUCGCUACGAGGGAGGCCAUAAAUCAAAUGAAAGAUCGCCAAAGUGACGGUCAUAUCAUUCACAUCAACAGCGUUGCCGGCCACAGAGUAUAUGAUUUUCCCAAGUUUAACGUCUACUGUGCUACCAAGCAUGCAGUGUCUGCCUUGGCUGAAACGCUGAGAUUCGAAAUAAAUAGAGAACAUCUCAAAAUAAAAAUUACGAGCGUGAGUCCCGGAUAUGUCGACACCGAAAUACUGCAAAAUGGAAUCCACGGCGAUUUUUCUGUAGCUCUUCAAGCUGGCGACAUAGCUGAUGCAUGUAUUUACGCUUUGUCGACACCGCCCCAUGUGCAGAAACGAUAGAAACGGUAUCAAGACAUCGGAGAUGUAUUUCAACAUGCGUCCUGAAAGACGACAACCUUAUCGAACUUUGUUUAAAUUAUUGGAUGGAAAUAUCGAGUUUGAUUGAUUUGAAAAACUAAGACAAAAUUGGUACUUUGCAGAUAAAUGUGAACCCGGGAUAAUCCACAAGCCAAGUUUACUCUGAUGUAGGUGCUUCUUCUCAUACCAGUGCUUGGAGACAAAUACAAAAAGUCCAGAUGAUCCCUAAAAGCGAUGACAAUUUUGUAGUU
Molecule: RNA transcript, 1248 nt
Organism: Cylas formicarius (sweet potato weevil)
Lineage: Eukaryota; Metazoa; Arthropoda; Insecta; Coleoptera; Brentidae
Gene name: farnesol dehydrogenase-like
Exons: 6
Source: RefSeq, a predicted model, not a curated record